Molecule: ribosomal RNA, 497 nt
Filed under: uncultured bacterium
Lineage: Bacteria
Description: partial 16S ribosomal RNA
Rfam family: Bacterial small subunit ribosomal RNA
Source: RNAcentral
GAUGAACGCUGGCGGCGUGCCUAAUACAUGCAAGUCGAGCGAACGGACGAGAAGCUUGCUUCUCUGAUGUUAGCGGCGGACGGGUGAGUAACACGUGGAUAACCUACCUAUAAGACUGGGAUAACUUCGGGAAACCGUAGCUAAUACCGGAUAAUAUUUUGAACCGCAUGGUUCAAAGGUGAAAGACGGUCUUGCUGUAACUUAUAGAUGGAUCCGCGCUGCAUUAGCUAGUUGGUAAGGUAACGGCUUACCAAGGCAACGAUGCAUAGCCGACCUGAGAGGGUGAUCGGCCACACGGGAACUGAGACACGGUCCAGACUCCUACGGGAGGCAGCAGUAGGGAAUCUUCCGCAAUGGGCGAAAGCCUGACGGAGCAACGCCGCGUGAGUGAUGAAGGUCUUCGGAUCGUAAAACUCUGUUAUUAGGGAAGAACAUAUGUGUAAGUAACUGUGCACAUCUUGACGGUACCUAAUCAGAAAGCCACGGCUAACUACGUG